UACGUAGGGGGCAAGCGUUGUCCGGAAUCAUUGGGCGUAAAGAGCGUGUAGGCGGCCCGGUAAGUCCGCUGUGAAAGUCCAGGGCUCAACCCUGGGAUGCCGGUGGAUACUGUCGGGCUCGAGUCCGGAAGAGGAGUGUGGAAUUCCUGGUGUAGCGGUGAAAUGCGCAGAUAUCGGGAGGAACACCGGUGGCGAAGGCGGUUCUC
Molecule: ribosomal RNA, 206 nt
Filed under: uncultured bacterium
Lineage: Bacteria
Description: partial 16S ribosomal RNA
Rfam family: Bacterial small subunit ribosomal RNA
Source: RNAcentral